AGGGGGCGAACGGGCCGCAGGCUCGCCACGGCGACCGCGGCGGGGAAGUCCGGGCCCGUACUUUCGGCUAGAACACCCGGGCUUCCAGCGGCGCCGCGCCCCCGCCCGCCGGCUCGCGCUUUCGGACGGUGACGCAGCCGUCCGGGUACGCAGAAAUCUGCGCGGAAGCCGGGAACCUCCCGGGCCGCCGGCGUCUCCCCGCCGCCCCCGCGCUGCCCGCAGCCAGCGCCUGCCCCGGGGCCUCAGCGGGGGUCGCCCGGGGAGCCCAAGGCGGGACGUGCUCUCUGGGCUCAGGCUCGCUGAUACAUCUUCGGUCGGGUUCAUCACUCAUGUCACUGCCUUAGUGACGUGCGUACUAUUAUUAGCGUCACUUAGAGGUGAGGAAACAGGCUCAAAAAAUAUCAAGUUACGUGCUUGAAGUCAAACAGAAGGCAGAGCUGCGAAGCAAAUCCAGCGCUCCCGGGGACAUCUGGGCACUCACCCUUCUAACACUGGAGAGGGGAUGCAGUCAUUUUAGGUCAGUACCCUCUUUGACAGAUGAAAGAUUUAAUUCACUCCAUGGGAAAAUCACCUACCCCCAUCUCCAUCUAACUAGUGACAGACGGCGAACUAGGGGCCCUGUCUCCUGGAAGCAUGCAAGGGCUCUUGCCACCUCACCUCCCUUUUCCUCCCAGAAGCUUCAGAACAGCUCUGAGGCCAGAACGUGACUUUCUCAGAGACCUGAUGACGGUGAUGUGGGCGGAGACCUCCGGGAAGGAGGAGGAAGUCAAGUCACCGGGUUCGGCAGCUGGCCUGUUUGCCGUGCCCUAGAGAGGGACCCAGCACCUCAGGCGUGGAGCCAGCCCUACCAGCCUGGGCCUCUUUGCUGGCUGGGUCCCCUUUUGGAAGAGCGGCAGCCCAGUAAAAGAUAAAGAGAGAGAGAGAGAGAGAGAGAGAGAGAGAGAGAGAGAGUGUGUGUGUGUGUGUGUGUGUGUGUGUAGGGGGAGUGGCUUCUGGCUGUGGAAUGUCCAAGUACAUGUGGAUUAGGAUAGGAAGGAAUACGCUGGCUUUUGAAUUUUCUCCUAGAUGGGACAGAGUCCUUCCAUGGCAAAUGAUUUCAGGGUCAGCACAGAAUUUUGAGAGGAGUUUAUCUUGAAAAGUGAAGGAUGCUAAUGCAAGUUUUCUAACAUUGCCAAAUUUGGGGAACUGUUUGGGUUUUAAAAUCACUGAGCCCUGGAGCAGCUGUUUUUUCCUUACAAGCCUCUGUUUUGUGAAAUGAGGCUAAAAUACCUGGGCAGCCCUUUUCCCUUGGGCACCCUGGAAUGCUGAGACUAUGAAUGGCAUCUCAGAAGAGUUGGAGCUCCAAAGGGAAGUCGGACCACGAAAGGACAGGACUCUCUCCUUUGAAAACAAAGUUCUCCGUUUUUCAAUCACAAAAGUAAUUACUACUCAUCGUAUACAAGUUAGAUUUUUUUUUUUUGGAAUCAGAAAGAAGAUAAAAAAACAUUGAAAUCCGACAUCCAGGAAACCACUGUUGAUAAUUCGAUGUAUAGCAUUAAUGUAAGCAGAGUGAACACACUCCUUUUUUCCUUGAACAGCCUUUUUUCCUUGAAUAAAAUAUCAUGACAUGCCACUAAA
This is a non-coding RNA of Callorhinus ursinus (northern fur seal), 1617 nucleotides long. The record is from RefSeq and is a predicted model, not a curated record. NCBI's taxonomy places the organism in Eukaryota, Metazoa, Chordata, Mammalia, Carnivora, Otariidae.